This 183-nucleotide transfer RNA is filed under the name Thermococcus barossii. Its description in RNAcentral is "16S-23S ribosomal RNA intergenic spacer". The stretch from base 45 to 118 matches the Rfam family "tRNA". Lineage: Archaea; Methanobacteriati; Methanobacteriota; Thermococci; Thermococcales; Thermococcaceae. The record is from RNAcentral.
AAAUCCGUCCGGGGGGUCUAAGGGAUGUCGGGCCUGCCAUCCGUGGGCCGGUAGCUCAGCCUGGGAGAGCGUCGGCUUUGCAAGCCGAAGGCCCCGGGUUCGAAUCCCGGCCGGUCCACCACGAAGAGGGUGCACAUCCCGAGCACGGCUCGGGGUGGAAGGGUCCUAGGCCCCGAACAGGGG